AGUGAACGCUGGCGGUAGGCCUAACACAUGCAAGUCGAACGGCAGCACAGUAAGAGCUUGCUCUUACGGGUGGCGAGUGGCGGACGGGUGAGGAAUACAUCGGAAUCUACUUUUUCGUGGGGGAUAACGUAGGGAAACUUACGCUAAUACCGCAUACGACCUACGGGUGAAAGCAGUGGAUCUUCUGACCUUGCGCGAUUGAAUGAGCCGAUGUCGGAUUAGCUAGUUGGCGGGGUAAAGGCCCACCAAGGCGACGAUCCGUAGCUGGUCUGAGAGGAUGAUCAGCCACACUGGAACUGAGACACGGUCCAGACUCCUACGGGAGGCAGCAGUGGGGAAUAUUGGACAAUGGGCGCAAGCCUGAUCCUGCCAUACCGCGUGGGUGAAGAAGGCCUUCGGGUUGUAAAGCCCUUUUGUUGGGAAAGAAAAGCAGCAGGUUAAUACCCCGCUGUUCUGACGGUACCCAAAGAAUAAGCACCGGCUAACUUCGUG
Molecule: ribosomal RNA, 492 nt
Filed under: uncultured bacterium
Lineage: Bacteria
Description: partial 16S ribosomal RNA
Rfam family: Bacterial small subunit ribosomal RNA
Source: RNAcentral